UACAGAGGGUGCAAGCGUUAAUCGGAGUUACUGGGCGUAAAGGGCGCGUAGGCGGUUGUAUAUGUGUGAUGUGAAAGCCCCGGGCUUAACCUGGGAAGUGCAUCGCAAACUGUAUGACUGGAGUACAAGAGAGGGUGGCGGAAUUUCCGGUGUAGCGGUGAAAUGCGUAGAGAUCGGAAGGAACGUCGAUGGCGAAGGCAGCCACCUGGCUUGAUACUGACGCUGAGGCGCGAAAGCGUGGGGAGCGAACAGG
This 253-nucleotide ribosomal RNA is filed under the name uncultured bacterium. Its description in RNAcentral is "partial 16S ribosomal RNA". It matches the Rfam family "Bacterial small subunit ribosomal RNA", at positions 524 to 776 of the family's 1533-position model. The record is from RNAcentral.